AUGUCGUACAUGCGAGGCGACCUGCUGACGAAGACGCGGAAACUGGUGAAGGGGCUGGCCAAGCCCGCCCCUGCCUGGCUCAAGGCCAUGGAGCAGGCACCUCCAGUCACAUUCCCUAGAACUGAUGGUAAAAUCGAGAAGAUAGAACUGCCAGAGGAUGUCUAUGUCAAGAGGUUCUUCAGAAGGCAUCCUGAUUCACUCUACCAUGAUGCAAUAAAGAUAAGCGGGUUUGAUCCACCGCCAGCAAGAGUUUUUGCUUGGCGUGUCUUAGAGUUGAAAGAACAGGGAGUCAAUGAAGAUGAUGCAAUGGCUGUAGCAGAUAUGGAGUAUGGAGCAGAGAAAAAAGCAAAGAAGCUAGCAUACAAGGAACUGAAACAAAUUGCACGCAGAGAAGGAAAGCCACCACCUCCAAAUCCAUAUCCAAGCGCUAUCAAAGAAAUACAGGCAGAGGAAAAGAAGUAUGUUAGGGACCGUUUCCAUAACCCAAAGGUACUCGAGAUCGUGAAUAAGAUGAAAGAGGACAGACAGAUGUUUCUUCAAGAUAGAGCGGCAGCAUCAGGUGCAUCAGGUGAAGGACAGUAA
This 582-nucleotide ribosomal RNA is filed under the name Triticum aestivum (bread wheat). RNAcentral describes it as "partial small subunit ribosomal RNA". Lineage: Eukaryota; Viridiplantae; Streptophyta; Magnoliopsida; Poales; Poaceae. The record is from RNAcentral.